Molecule: long non-coding RNA, 515 nt
Organism: Nematostella vectensis (starlet sea anemone)
Lineage: Eukaryota; Metazoa; Cnidaria; Anthozoa; Actiniaria; Edwardsiidae
Exons: 2
Source: RefSeq, a predicted model, not a curated record
ACUAAUCGUCCAACGGCGUCGGUCAAGGAUGCUGGUGGCUACUUUCUCGUUUUAAAAUGCGGCUAGAGACAAGGGAAAAUAGUUUAGCUCGGAUGUGUUGCCACAUAUCGAAUGUCUCUGAGUGAUGGUCUUUUUCAAGCAGAAAAAUUUGUAGCGUCCUUUAUAAAAACCCAAUUGAAGAGGAGUAGUCGUCAUAAAUCCCACUGAAAACACAUCAAUGGCGUUGGUAUUCUUGCUGCCAGGGACUCCAACUUCUGGGCCGUAUAUUCGGCGGUCGAAAGCUUCUCUCAUGAUGGAGCUUCAAAGUGCUUGCGGCAGCAUUUCCCGAAGUAGAUGAUAGCAGGGCAGUUUUGCCCUUCCCGCUCCUCGACUAAAACGUUAUUGGCUUUGAUGUCAUUGUGGAGAUUUCCUUUGUGAUGUAUAUAGUCAACCGUAUUGCAGAUCUUUUGAAACACUGCAUUCAACUGUUGUUUUGAAAGUAGAGAAAAUGAAAUAAAUACAGUACGGUAUUUACA